Molecule: small RNA, 117 nt
Filed under: Thalassolituus sp.
Lineage: Bacteria; Pseudomonadati; Pseudomonadota; Gammaproteobacteria; Oceanospirillales; Oceanospirillaceae
Description: RtT sRNA
Rfam family: RtT RNA
About the family: This family represents a bacterial cis-regulatory element known as RtT RNA. The exact function of RtT is unknown although it is thought that it may be involved in changing the cellular response in relation to amino acid starvation.
Source: RNAcentral
UCUUCGUCAGCGCGACGGAGGUGAGAGCCUCCUUAGGUUCGACUAGAGCGAAGCGAAAGAACGUCGGAGCUUGCGACGACGGCCCGAAGGGCAUCAGUCAUCCUCCCGAGCGCACCA